UACGUAGGGUGCAAGCGUUAGUCCGGAAUUAUUGGGCGUAAAGAGCUCGUAGGCGGUUUGUCACGUCUGCUGUGAAAACUGGAGGCUCAACCUCCAGCCUGCAGUGGGUACGGGCAGACUAGAGUGCGGUAGGGGAGAUUGGAAUUCCUGGUGUAGCGGUGGAAUGCGCAGAUAUCAGGAGGAACACCGGUGGCGAAGGCGGGUCUCUGGGCAGUAACUGACGCUGAGGAGCGAAAGCGUGGGGAGCGAACAGG
This 254-nucleotide ribosomal RNA is filed under the name uncultured bacterium. Its description in RNAcentral is "partial 16S ribosomal RNA". It matches the Rfam family "Bacterial small subunit ribosomal RNA", at positions 524 to 776 of the family's 1533-position model. The record is from RNAcentral.